Molecule: long non-coding RNA, 3097 nt
Filed under: Callithrix jacchus (white-tufted-ear marmoset)
Lineage: Eukaryota; Metazoa; Chordata; Mammalia; Primates; Cebidae
Description: lncRNA (ENSCJAG00000071690.1)
Source: RNAcentral
CAUUUUGACAUCAUAAUGGGGAAUAGAAAGCAGUAUCUGCCCCAGGCAAAAAUUUAUUUCCAGGCAAAGUAAGAGGGAUGACCAUUGCCUUGGCUUACUUGGUGGCACUUAGGGAAUAGGGAUUUGGGAGAGUUGGGAACCACAGAGACAUUCUUACUGAGGUCUCUUUCCUGGUGCUGCCAGAUUUCAGGGUGUGAGGCUCACAACACAACAGGCUGGUGAUCUUUUCUCUCUUUCCCAUUCUGAUCUUCCAGGAGGGGACACUGUUCGUUGGCUAGUCUCUGUUAAAUGCAAGGGAUCCUCCAUAGGAUAAGAAAUUUGAGAGUGAAGUAGAUUCCCUGUACCAGGCUUCUGAGUGCCUUGAGAGCUGGAUAGUAUGCUAAUUAUAUCAUAUUCCAAAGCCAAGAUCGGUGCUUGCUAGAUAGAGGACAUAUAAACACUGGCGAACAGAUGUAAACACUGGCUGUAAACAUCGGUGGAGUGAAUCAGUGCAUUUUGAGAUUUUGCAGAAUAACAUCCACUGCACCUUUCCAAGGGUAAAGGUUUCAAAACCAUAAACAACUAUAUUCAGCAACGUAGGAAAAAGAUCUAUUUUGCGCACAAUUUGACAUGAGACUAACAUCCAUGUGGCAAGGAAUUUCAAAGCGUGAAUUCUGCCUUGAAAUAGAGCAAGGAAAAAACAGAAACUCGCCUGGAUGUGAGGACUGCAGGAUAGAGAGCGUUGCACAGCUAGCAGAAGGUGGUGAUGUGCUGAAAAGAAGAGGACUUCUGGUCACCACAACAAGCUCAUGCAACUACCUGACUUGCACAGGCUGGGCCAGCAGAAUUAUUCACUAGUCCAGUAAGGUUGUCAGAACAAGUUUAAUGGAAGCAAGAGGUGAUAACAGUGGGCCCCAUUCAGUUAAUAAGAAGGAAGCUUGACAAGACAGAACCGAAGUGGCAGGGCAGGCUGCAGUGUGAGGUCAGUUUUUAGGCUUUCAGAACUUUAUCCCAUCAUCUGUAGUGGCUACAGACUCACCAUCACCACAGCAAGUAAAUUCAUAGGCAAAAAGGGAUGAUGGGCCCCCAGUGAAACUCAACCUUCAUGCCAAGGACAGUCUAAAGCCUGAAAACCAAAGUGUAAAUCCACAAACCAGAUUGAGAGCUCCCAUUUCUGUUUGGUGUGCUCUCUCCAGAUUGGCCCUUUUCUUUCACCUAUUUUACAUAUACCUACCCUUUCCCAAUUGGUUCUCUACACUAUUGUGCCUAUUUCUGAAUCAUGCUUUUUCAAACACACCCAUAGACCAAUCAGCAUGCACUUCCCACUUCAAGUGCAUAAAUAUUCCUAGACUUAGCCUCAUGGCCAACAAUCCAUCUUCGGGUCCCCUCUCACAGUCAAGAGCUUUUCUGUCCCUCGAUCAAUAAAUUCUAUUCUGCCUUACUCAAUUUCCAGUGUCUGUGUGCCUUAUGCUUAUUCUUCUCUGUCAUGGGGCAAGAACUGAGAACUCAUUGAAGUAUGGGAGUAAAAGAGCAGUAAAACUCGUUUUAGAAAGAACCUGGGAUUCUGAGCAGUAUAACCAUACAUGGCUGGGUACAGUGAUUCAGGCAUGUAAUCCCAGCAUUUUGGGAAGCCAAAGUGGGCAGAUCACUUGAGCCCAGGGAGAUGAAACUAGCCCAGGCAACAUGGUGAAACUGCAUCUCUACAAAAACUACCAAAAACUUAGCUGGGUAUGAUGGCGCAUGCCUAUAGUCCCAACUACUCAGGAGGCAGAGGUGGCAGAAUCACCUGAACCCAAGAAGUCAAGGCUGCAGUGAGCUGUGAUUGCACCACUGCACUCCAGCCUGGAUGACAGUGAGACUUUGUCUAAAAAAAAAAAAAAAAAAAAAAAAAACCAGGCUGAGCGCGGUGGCUCACACCUGUAAUCCCAGCACUUUGGGAGGCCGAGGUGGGUGGAUUACAAGGUCAAGAGAUCAAGACCAUCCUGGUCAACAUGGUGAAACCCCGUCUCUACUAAAAAUACAAAAAAAUUAGUUGGGCAUGGUGGCACAUGCCUGUAAUCCCAGCUAUUCGGGAGGCUGAGGCAGGAGAAUUGCCUGAACCCCAGGAGGCGGAGGUUGCGGUGAGCCGAGAUCGUGCCAUUGCACUCCAGCCUGGGUAACAAGAGCGAAACUCCAUCUCAAAAAAAAGCAAAAAAACAACCAUACAUACUACUGAAAAGUAGUGGGAGAACGGCAGCUCCAGCCCCCAGAAACUGGUCUAUCACACACAGUUAUGUCAAAUUAUUCUCCUGUUGAACAUAAACAAUCUCACAGAAUAUCAUGACGAAGUGACGUAAAACAAGUCCAUUUCAUAAUUUUAUCCAAGGAAAGAUAAAACCAAGGUCACUAUGCUACCCACAAAAUACCAGAUUUCUCCUCUCUUGGCCAGAAUGUGUGACUACAACUUUAUAAUUAAUCUACCAUCUUUAUAAAUAAGAUUUAUUAAGAUACCUAAUUUUAGAAUUGCCCCCACGUUCUGAUAGCAUCCAAUCUAGAGUAAACAUCUGCUUUGUGGACCCUCUCUGACAUCAUUCAAUCAAAGCCCAGAUCCUGUAAGAGGAUCUUUCUGACACCCUCUCUCUGAAAUGCCCCUAGUUUCAUAGGGUGUAUGUUCUCCUUCUGCAACAAAUUAUAAACUCAGUUGAUUUGAUUAUAGGUGUGUUCCUGGUCAUCUUUGGAUGGAGGGUAUUAACAGUACAAAAUUAGAUUCAAAAUAAAGCUCGGUUCCAAGAAAUGGGCAAACAUUUAGACAAUGAGCACUUAUUAAAGCUGCAACAUAAAGAGCCACUCGAACAGCCAAGACUUGCCCCAGGGUUCUGAAAUUAGUUCUCACCAUAAUUUAAUUCCAGACCACACCAGAAAAGAAAGAGCUGAUGUCACAGUUCUGGCGGCAAGUGAGAUUUGGGGGGGUUACAAAAUAUACUGGGCCUGCAGCACAGAGUCAGGAAAAGAAGCCACAAAGAGGGAAGGAAGCUGCAAUUAGUAAGCUGAGCUGUUUUUAUAAUGCCCUGUAAGUUCUGGACUCUUAGAGACCAGAAUCUUUAUGAUCAGAAUUGUUCAAUCUGUCAAUCAGCUGGAG